Molecule: ribosomal RNA, 198 nt
Filed under: Triticum aestivum (bread wheat)
Lineage: Eukaryota; Viridiplantae; Streptophyta; Magnoliopsida; Poales; Poaceae
Description: partial small subunit ribosomal RNA
Source: RNAcentral
AUGCUGGAACUGUCGAGGUCUGGGUCGGACUUGACAGUUGGCGAGCUUCGUCGGCUUGUGAAGCUCUACCGCCCCCUCCUCUUUCUUUCGGAGACGAAGAUGAGGGACUCAAGAGUGAGGAAUUUUAUGUGGUCUCUGGGUUUCAAGGGUUGCUUUGCAGUUAGUUCCGAGGGCCUCAGUGGGGGGCUGGCCUUGUUU